RNAcentral lists this ribosomal RNA (317 nucleotides) under Purpureocillium lilacinum. Its description in RNAcentral is "LSU rRNA". It matches the Rfam family "Eukaryotic large subunit ribosomal RNA", at positions 331 to 670 of the family's 3401-position model. Lineage: Eukaryota; Fungi; Ascomycota; Sordariomycetes; Hypocreales; Ophiocordycipitaceae. The record is from RNAcentral.
AGACCGAUAGCGAACAAGUAGAGUGAUCGAAAGAUGAAAAGCACUUUGAAAAGAGGGUUAAAUAGUACGUGAAAUUGUUGAAAGGGAAGCGCUUGUGACCAGACUUGGGCCCGGUGGAUCAUCCAGCGUUCUCGCUGGUGCACUCCGCCGGGUUCAGGCCAGCAUCAGUUCGCCGCGGGGGAAAAAGGCUUCGGGAACGUGGCUCCUACGGGAGUGUUAUAGCCCGUUGCAUAAUACCCUGGGGCGGACUGAGGUUCGCGCUCCGCAAGGAUGCUGGCGUAAUGUCAUCAGCGACCCGUCUUGAAACACGGACCAAG